GGCUCAGUCGGUUAGAGCGACGGAAUCAUAAUCCGCAGGUCCGGGGUUCGAGUCCCUG
This 58-nucleotide transfer RNA is filed under the name Cupriavidus plantarum. RNAcentral describes it as "Cupriavidus sp. ASC-64 tRNA". It matches the Rfam family "tRNA", at positions 9 to 63 of the family's 71-position model. Rfam says of the family: Transfer RNA (tRNA) molecules are approximately 80 nucleotides in length. Their secondary structure includes four short double-helical elements and three loops (D, anti-codon, and T loops). Lineage: Bacteria; Pseudomonadati; Pseudomonadota; Betaproteobacteria; Burkholderiales; Burkholderiaceae. The record is from Rfam by way of RNAcentral.